RNAcentral lists this transfer RNA (66 nucleotides) under Leifsonia shinshuensis. RNAcentral describes it as "tRNA-Arg". The record is from RNAcentral. Lineage: Bacteria; Bacillati; Actinomycetota; Actinomycetes; Micrococcales; Microbacteriaceae.
GCCGGAGCAGCUCUCGCGGUGCUUCUCAUCUCUUGGUCGCAGGUUCGAUUCCUGCCGGGGGCACCA